CAGAGGGUGCGAGCGUUAAUCGGAAUUACUGGGCGUAAAGCGCGCGUAGGCGGCUUUUCAAGUCGAUUGUGAAAUCCCCGGGCUCAACCUGGGAACUGCAGUCGAGACUGUCUAGCUAGAGUAUGGGAGAGGGAAGUGGAAUUUCAGGUGUAGCGGUGAAAUGCGUAGAUAUCUGAAGGAACAUCAGUGGCGAAAGCGACUUCCUGGACCAAUACUGACGCUCAUGUGCGAAAGCGUGGGGAGCAAACAGGAUUAGAUACCCUGGUAGUCCACGCCAUAAACGAUGAGAACUGGAUGUCGGAGGGGUCUGCCCUUCGGUGUCGUAGCUAACGCGUUAAGUUCUCCGCCUGGGGAGUACGGCCGCAAGGUUG
RNAcentral lists this ribosomal RNA (371 nucleotides) under uncultured organism. RNAcentral describes it as "bacterial SSU rRNA". It matches the Rfam family "Bacterial small subunit ribosomal RNA", at positions 526 to 896 of the family's 1533-position model. The record is from RNAcentral.